CUUUUAAAUAAGUAAGAGUAUAUAGUGGAUGCCUUGGGUCUGGAAGUCGAUGAAGGACGUGAUUACCUGCGAUAAGCCUCGUGGAGCUGGAAUAAGCUAUGAUACGGGGAUUUCCGAAUGGGGGAACCUAACUAGACAAACUCUAGUUGAUUUAUAAUGAAUACAUAGUUAUAAAUGCGAGACACCUUGUGAAUUGAAACAUCUUAGUAGCAAGAGGAAAAGAAAAUAAAUAAUGAUUUCGUUAGUAGUGGCGAGCGAAUGCGAAAGAGCCCAAACCAUCAUUUUGAUGGGGUUGUAGGACAUUCUACAUAAAGUUACAAAAUUUUAUUAUAGUUGAAAAAGUUGAAAAGCUUUAACAUAGAAGGUUAUAUUCCUGUAAACGAAAUAAUAAAAUCUUUUGAAUGUAUCCUGAGUAGGGCGGGGCACGUGAAACCCUGUCUGAAUCCGCCGGGACCACCCGGUAAGGCUAAAUACUAACCAGACACCGAUAGUGAAACAG
This 499-nucleotide ribosomal RNA is filed under the name [Mycoplasma] collis. Its description in RNAcentral is "bacterial LSU rRNA". It matches the Rfam family "Bacterial large subunit ribosomal RNA", at positions 1 to 498 of the family's 2925-position model. Lineage: Bacteria; Bacillati; Mycoplasmatota; Mycoplasmoidales; Metamycoplasmataceae. The record is from RNAcentral.